AGUAAAAUGAAGAUGAUGCAUCGGGAAUGGUCGGGAUAGCUCAGC
Molecule: transfer RNA, 45 nt
Filed under: Clematoclethra lasioclada
Lineage: Eukaryota; Viridiplantae; Streptophyta; Magnoliopsida; Ericales; Actinidiaceae
Description: partial transfer RNA-Phe
Source: RNAcentral